Molecule: ribosomal RNA, 429 nt
Filed under: Gemmatimonadota bacterium
Lineage: Bacteria; Pseudomonadati; Gemmatimonadota
Description: Gemmatimonadetes bacterium partial 16S ribosomal RNA
Rfam family: Bacterial small subunit ribosomal RNA
Source: RNAcentral
UAGGGAAUCUUCGGCAAUGGACGAAAGUCUGACCGAGCAACGCCGCGUGAGUGAAGAAGGUUUUCGGAUCGUAAAACUCUGUUGUUAGAGAAGAACAAGGACGUUAGUAACUGAACGUCCCCUGACGGUAUCUAACCAGAAAGCCACGGCUAACUACGUGCCAGCAGCCGCGGUAAUACGUAGGUGGCAAGCGUUGUCCGGAUUUAUUGGGCGUAAAGCGAGCGCAGGCGGUUUCUUAAGUCUGAUGUGAAAGCCCCCGGCUCAACCGGGGAGGGUCAUUGGAAACUGGGAGACUUGAGUGCAGAAGAGGAGGGUGGAAUUCCAUGUGUAGCGGUGAAAUGCGUAGAUAUAUGGAGGAACACCAGUGGCGAAGGCGGCUCUCUGGUCUGUAACUGACGCUGGGGCUCGAAAGCGUGGGGAGCAAACAGG